GGCGCUCGGCAUGGUACCACCGCAUCGGGCCAAUGUUUGUAAAUGCAAACGACAACAAUGCUCCGGUUGCUGUUGCCGCCUAAGCGGUACUAGCACCAAAGCGAAAUUCCGGUUGCCGGGAGCGGUAAUUUGGUGGGGGACGGGGCACCUAGCAACAGAACGCCCCACU
This 169-nucleotide transfer-messenger RNA is filed under the name Thalassospira sp. RNAcentral describes it as "partial transfer-messenger RNA". It matches the Rfam family "Alphaproteobacteria transfer-messenger RNA", at positions 188 to 355 of the family's 355-position model. From Rfam's summary of the family: Bacterial tmRNA, also known as 10Sa RNA or SsrA, is named for its dual tRNA and mRNA-like properties. Its role is to liberate the mRNA from a stalled ribosome. To accomplish this part of the tmRNA is used as a reading frame that ends in a translation stop signal. Lineage: Bacteria; Pseudomonadati; Pseudomonadota; Alphaproteobacteria; Rhodospirillales; Thalassospiraceae. The record is from RNAcentral.